This 460-nucleotide ribosomal RNA is filed under the name uncultured bacterium. Its description in RNAcentral is "partial 16S ribosomal RNA". It matches the Rfam family "Bacterial small subunit ribosomal RNA", at positions 338 to 795 of the family's 1533-position model. The record is from RNAcentral.
CCUACGGGUGGCAGCAGUGAGGAAUAUUGGUCAAUGGGCGCGAGCCUGAACCAGCCAAGUAGCGUGAAGGAUGACUGCCCUACGGGUUGUAAACUUCUUUUAUAAAGGAAUAAAGUGAGGCACGUGUGCAUUUUUGUAUGGACUUUAUGAAUAAGGAUCGGCUAACACCGUGCAAGCAGCCGCGGUAAUACGGAGGAACCGAGCGUUAUCCGGAUUUAUUGGGUUUAAAGGGAGCGUAGAUGGGUUGUUAAGUCAGUUGUGAAAGUUUGCGGCUCAACCGUAAAAUUGCAAUUGAUACUGGCAGUCUUGAGUACAGUUGAGGUAGGCGGAAUUCGUGGUGUAGCGGUGAAAUGCGUAGAUAUCAGGAGGAACACCGGUGGCGAAGGCGGCCUUCUGGACUGCAACUGACGUUGAGGCCCGAAAGCGUGGGGAGCAAACAGGAUUAGAUACCCCUGUAGUC